This 377-nucleotide unclassified non-coding RNA is filed under the name plant metagenome. Its description in RNAcentral is "partial contains 5.8S ribosomal RNA, internal transcribed spacer 2, and large subunit ribosomal RNA". The stretch from base 1 to 104 matches the Rfam family "5.8S ribosomal RNA", at positions 51 to 154 of the family's 154-position model. The record is from RNAcentral.
AAAUGCGAUAAGUAAUGUGCAUUGCAGAAUUCAGUGAAUCAUCGAAUCUUUGAACGCACCUUGCGCUCCUUGGUAUUCCUUGGAGCAUGCCUGUUUGAGUAUCAUGAAAUCUUCAAAGUAAAUCUUUUGUUAACUCAAUUGGUUUCUACUUUGGUAUUGGAGGUCUUUGCAGCUUCACACCUGCUCCUCUUUGUUCAUUAGCUGGAUCUCAGUGUUAUGCUUGGUUCCACUCGGCGUGAUAAGUUAUCUAUCGCUGAGGACACUGUAAAAGGUGGCCAAGGUAAAUGCUGAUGAACCGCUUCUAAUAGUCCAUUGACUUGGACAAUACUUUUAUGAUCUGAUCUCAAAUCAGGUAGGACUACCCGCUGAACUUAAGC